AUUGAACGCUGGCGGCAGGCUUAACACAUGCAAGUCGAGCGGGGGAAGGUAGCUUGCUACCGGACCUAGCGGCGGACGGGUGAGUAAUGCUUAGGAAUCUGCCUAUUAGUGGGGGACAACAUCUCGGAAGGGAUGCCAAUACCGCAUACGUCCUACGGGAGAAAGCAGGGGAUCUUCGGACCUUGCGCUAAUAGAUGAGCCUAAGUCGGAUUAGCUAGUUGGUGGGGUAAAGGCCUACCAAGGCGACGAUCUGUAGCGGGUCUGAGAGGAUGAUCCGCCACACUGGGACUGAGACACGGCCCAGACUCCUACGGGAGGCAGCAGUGGGGAAUAUUGGACAAUGGGGGGAACCCUGAUCCAGCCAUGCCGCGUGUGUGAAGAAGGCCUUAUGGUUGUAAAGCACUUUAAGCGAGGAGGAGGCUACUCUAGUUAAUACCUAGGGAUAGUGGACGUUACUCGCAGAAUAAGCACCGGCUAACUCUGUGCCAGCCGCCGCUGUAA
RNAcentral lists this ribosomal RNA (501 nucleotides) under uncultured bacterium. RNAcentral's name for it is "partial 16S ribosomal RNA". It matches the Rfam family "Bacterial small subunit ribosomal RNA", at positions 30 to 523 of the family's 1533-position model. The record is from RNAcentral.